UAGCUUAGUUGGUAAAGAAUCUGCCUGCAAUGCAGGAGACCCAGGUUCAAUCCCUGG
Molecule: transfer RNA, 57 nt
Organism: Ovis aries (sheep)
Lineage: Eukaryota; Metazoa; Chordata; Mammalia; Artiodactyla; Bovidae
Rfam family: tRNA
About the family: Transfer RNA (tRNA) molecules are approximately 80 nucleotides in length. Their secondary structure includes four short double-helical elements and three loops (D, anti-codon, and T loops). Further hydrogen bonds mediate the characteristic L-shaped molecular structure. tRNAs have two regions of fundamental functional importance: the anti-codon, which is responsible for specific mRNA codon recognition, and the 3' end, to which the tRNAs corresponding amino acid is attached (by aminoacyl-tRNA synthetases). tRNAs cope with the degeneracy of the genetic code in two manners: having more than one tRNA (with a specific anti-codon) for a particular amino acid; and 'wobble' base-pairing, i.e. permitting non-standard base-pairing at the 3rd anti-codon position.
Source: Rfam